RNAcentral lists this ribosomal RNA (407 nucleotides) under uncultured bacterium. RNAcentral's name for it is "bacterial SSU rRNA". It matches the Rfam family "Bacterial small subunit ribosomal RNA", at positions 505 to 916 of the family's 1533-position model. The record is from RNAcentral.
GUGCCAGCCGCCGCGGUAAUACGGAGGGUGCAAGCGUUAUCCGGAUUCAUUGGGUUUAAAGGGUGCGCAGGCGGAUACUUAAGUCAGUGGUGAAAUCCCGGGGCUCAACCCCGGAACUGCCAUUGAUACUGAAUAUCUGGAAUACGGUUGAAGUGGGCGGAAUGUAGCAUGUAGCGGUGAAAUGCAUAGAGAUGCUACAGAACACCGAUCGCGAAGGCAGCUCACUAAGCCGAUAUUGACGCUCAGGCACGAAAGCGUGGGGAGCGAACAGGAUUAGAUACCCUGGUAGUCCACGCCGUAAACGAUGAUAACUCGUUGUGGCGACACACAGUCAGCGACUAAGCGAAAGCGAUAAGUUAUCCACCUGGGGAGUACGAUCGCAAGGUUGAAACUCAAGGAAUUGACGG